UGUGAACAAAUAACUCAUCUGGUGUCACUU
This 30-nucleotide non-coding RNA is filed under the name Rattus norvegicus (Norway rat). The record is from RNAcentral. Lineage: Eukaryota; Metazoa; Chordata; Mammalia; Rodentia; Muridae.